Long non-coding RNA from Monodelphis domestica (gray short-tailed opossum), 1621 nucleotides. Lineage: Eukaryota; Metazoa; Chordata; Mammalia; Didelphimorphia; Didelphidae. The record is from Ensembl.
AUGCACAGUAAUUCUGAAAUCCACAGGCACAAAUGUGGAAAGACAGAUUUUUGUGUUUGGGGAUUGGGAAGGGGGAUGGGACCAUGCUUUGGUAGGUCAGGCCUGAAAGGAGGCAUGGCAGCCAGGAGCUGUUAUCAGAAGAUGCAGAACUGGGGCUGCUGUGGCAGAGACGAGGACUUAGGAUCUCAAGCCAUUGCAUUCAAAGUUUCUCCUGGCUCUACCAUUCAUUCCCAAAGAAGUCAGCGGAAACCAGGAACAGAAGAGAGAAAGAAGACCCAGAGAGGUAAGGAGACUUGUCCAGAGUCACUGAUGGCAGAAGAAGGUUUUUUAACCCAGGCCCUCUAAUUCCAAAUUCAGUAUUUUUUUUCUGUUGUGCCCUGUUUUUUUAUGCCCCAUAAUACCCAUAACAUGGUAAAAGGUUAGUAAAUACUUGUUUACUUGAUUUGAAAACUAUUGAUUCUCAUAAGUAUUUAUAUAGGAUAAAAGAAAAGUUAGUUCAUUUCUCCUUGCCUCUCCUGAUUGGGGUUCCCAUGAAGCUGACUGGCCUCUCUUCAUUUCCUUAUUGUUUCUAUUAAAACUGACUGAUGCUGGGCCCUAUUCUAUCUGGGCCUUGAUCUCAGUAGGACAAAUUUAACCAACUAACUAGUUUGUGUCAAAGCCCACACUCUCUGAGUCAGGAAGAAACAAGCAUCUACCUGACAUGUGAGCUGAAGAUAGAGUCUGAGAACACAUCACUGGUGAAAAAAGAAAAACUUUAGAGUCAAAUAUGCUCAUAUGGUCAUAAAAUGAAGGCAUUGGAAUAGAUAAUCUUCUUUCUAUCUCUACAUCACAGGUUUAAGAUUUGGAUUCAGGUCCCCCACAAGUCAACAAAUAUCCCUGUCCUCAUCUGUAAAAUGAGAGGGUUGGAUUAGAUGAUUUCUGAGAUAACUUUGGAAGGGACUUGCCCAAGGGAUUUGAACCCAGGACAUCUAAUUCAAAACUUGAUGUUUUUCCAUUAUAUGAUACUGCCUGUCUUAGUGAAUGCCUUUAUUAAUGUGUCUUCUGAUUUCCAUAUAGAUCCUCGAUUGAAACGUUAACUCAGAUUUUGGUCUCCUGCUCCAGUCUCAGCCCCUGGAUUUAGUUUUCCCAAGAAUGUUUGAUUUAUUUAAUGCUUUUUAAUUUAUUUUAUUUUUUAAAAUUUAUUUUAUUAUUUUGAUGUUUGAAUGCUUGGUUUCCCACCUGGCUCAGAUUCUUGUUUACACUCAUGCUUCGACCCCUGUCCCUUUUUCUGGACCUGGCAGAAAAUGGACAGCAUUACCGAAUGCCCUCUAAACAAGAUAUUUGUGGUCUGGUUGUUGUUCUUUGUAUUCACAGAGGACCAAAAAUGGAAUUGCUGAUGAUGUCUUUUGACUCAUAUAAAUUGGAGUUAAGGGAGGCAGAGUCAUACAAGUUGUCAGCCUCACUCUCUUUUCCAAAAUCAUUGAAAUCCAAUGGCAAGACAAAAAGUCAAGAUAACUGGCAAUGAUCUGGGAUGUAAUGGAUGAUCUUGGCACCUUCAAUAUAUGAUGAAACUCUAAGUGCUCUAUAGCUCCCUUUUCCACUGACUUCAUGGCCUUUGGAAUAAACUGUUCUCAUCUGCCCA